CCUUGCGAAAGUAAGACUAAUACCCAAUGACGUCUCUAGAAGACAUCUGAAGGAGAUUAAAGAUUUAUCGGUGAUGGAUGGGGAUGCGUCUGAUUAGCUUGUUGGCGGGGUAACGGCCCCACCAAGGCGACGAUCAGUAGGGGUUCUGAGAGGAAGGUCCCCCACAUUGGAACUGAGACACGGUCCAAACUCCUACGGGAGGCAGCAGUGAGGAAUAUUGGUCAAUGGACGAGAGUCUGAACCAGCCAAGUAGCGUGCAGGAUGACGGCCCUAUGGGUUGUAAACUGCUUUUAUAAGGGAAUAAAGUGAGUCUCGUGAGACUUUUUGCAUGUACCUUAUGAAUAAGGACCGGCUAAUUCCGUG
Molecule: ribosomal RNA, 363 nt
Filed under: uncultured bacterium
Lineage: Bacteria
Description: bacterial SSU rRNA
Rfam family: Bacterial small subunit ribosomal RNA
Source: RNAcentral